RNAcentral lists this ribosomal RNA (644 nucleotides) under uncultured bacterium. Its description in RNAcentral is "bacterial SSU rRNA". The stretch from base 1 to 548 matches the Rfam family "Bacterial small subunit ribosomal RNA", at positions 338 to 873 of the family's 1533-position model. The record is from RNAcentral.
CCUACGGGAGGCAGCAGUGGGGAAUUUUGGACAAUGGGCGCAAGCCUGAUCCAGCCAUUCCGCGUGAGUGAAGAAGGCCUUCGGGUUGUAAAGCUCUUUCGCAAGGGAAGAAACGAUUUAGGUGAAUAAUCUAAGUUAAUGACGGUACCUUGAUAAGAAGCACCGGCUAACUACGUGCCAGCAGCCGCGGUAAUACGUAGGGUGCAAGCGUUAAUCGGAAUUACUGGGCGUAAAGCGUGCGCAGGCUGUUUUAGAAGUCAGAUGUGAAAUCCCCGAGCUCAACUUGGGAACUGCGUUUGAAACUACAAGACUAGAAUAUGUCAGAGGGGGGUAGAAUUCCACGUGUAGCAGUGAAAUGCGUAGAGAUGUGGAGGAAUAUCAAUGGCGAAGGCAGCCCCCUGGGAUAAUAUUGACGCUCAUGCACGAAAGCGUGGGGAGCAAACAGGAUUAGAUACCCUGGUAGUCCACGCCCUAAACGAUGUCAACUAGUUGUUGGUAGAGUAAAACUNUAUGAGUAACCGNAGCUAACGCGUAGAAGUUCGACCGCCGUCGGGUAGGUACGUUAGUUACGUCGAAGAAGUUAAACGUUAACGAAGGAAGUAGACGGACGNGAGACGNGCGACGGACGACGACGAGGGAGGAGG